Molecule: non-coding RNA, 2234 nt
Organism: Anas platyrhynchos (mallard)
Lineage: Eukaryota; Metazoa; Chordata; Aves; Anseriformes; Anatidae
Source: RefSeq, a predicted model, not a curated record
ACCAGGAGGCAUCUUUGCCUCCCAGAUGCAGGCAGGCACUUGUCCUGGCUGCCUUUGCCCUGUUCCCAUCCCGGGAAGGAGCAUGGCAAGGCCACGAUGCGAGGUGCCAAAUCCCCCCGUGCCGGUGGGCACCAUCCAAACCAUCGCCGCAGCUGAGAGCCGUGGGGGGAAUUCAGCCCCCCCAGGUGUGGAGGCACCCCAGGUGUCGGUGGGCUGCUUAAUUGCAGUGAUUAAAGCAGGGACAGCUGGAAGAGGCUAGGUUUGGGUGGUGGAGAUGGCUGCUGGAGCGUGAGGGUCUCUGUGCUGCGGAGGUUGCUGCCCUCCUGAAGGGGAGAAGCCUGCAGACUCGGUGCUCGUAAAGCAGCCUUGUUAUGCAAUGCGUGCACUUAGGUUUUAUCACCUGGAUUUACCGGAGCCUUUCUCCGUGUGCAUCUUCAUAUACUUUGAUAUACAUCUGCGUGUUCUUCGAUUCAGGGUAUAUCUGGUAUGCGAGUAGCGAGGAGAAACCAGAACUGGAGGCUUUGAGCUUCAGAAAGCUGCUACGACAUUUUAUGGGAAACUUAUUUGCCUGGGUUUGGCAUCAGGGUGAUGUGUCCUGUGUUGGAAGCUGUAGAUAUGUAUGAAAGGGAGGAGAUUUCAUGUUGCUUUAUGCAGAAACCAGCAUUGAGAACAAAUUGAAGAUCCAAUUCCUUUGGAUGCUCCUGGCCUUCCCGGAGUAAAAAGUGUCACAGCUCUGCGUGAGAACUGUCUGGGAAGCUGGGGAGCGAGCACCAUCCACAUCGAUUCGCUGCCCCACUGCUCCAGGGAAAGAAAGCCAGCUCUGCCUAGCGAUCCCACUCCCGUCUGGCUUAAAACAGAAGAAAAGAGCAGAAAAAAGCGGCCUCGGACUUGGAAAUAGGUAGGCAGCGAGGCAGCAGCAACCUUGGCUCGCCGCAGCCAGGAGAGCCUGAAACAGGCUGACAAAGAGACAGCAGGAGAGAGCAUUUAGUGCUAACAAUUGACUGGAUCCCGUGCCCUUGGGGAAGUUUUUGUUCUGUUCUUGGUAGGGGAAAUAGCUUGGAUGAAAGAUAUGAGGAUAUGAAAUAAGUUGAACAGCGGGAAGUUGUGUAAACAUGAUUAAUUCCAUUAAUGGCAACUUUCAAAUUGAAGGUUGUCAGUCCUUGUGGAUAUACCUCUUGUUUUCUUACCCCGUGUCACGCAGAGCAUCGAAACGCUCUGCUACGGGAAAGUAUUAAAAAAUUAAGAGAAGAAUACGCUUGGUUAGCUGCCUGGAAAGAGGAAGAAAAGUCUGCUGCCUUGCCCCAGCUUAUAGCAGCUUUGGGAGGCUUCGUGUCAUAUUUUUCGUAUUUGCUUUAGUUGUGUUGUACCAAUAACAGGGUUCGUUUGCUGAGCGUGUUUGGGGACGAGGCACGCAGAAGAACACAACCGGCUUCUCAGUUUCUGCUGGUCAGAAGCUGUCUUGAAACCAAGAAAACCCCCAAAUUCAGAAGCUGGUAGCAUCGCUCAGCAGGAGGACAGCUUGGGCUUUCGAGAUGGAGAUGCUGUUGGGAAAACCAGCCAGUGUCACUGUCCCGUAGUCCGAAUUCGGAGGUGAUGAGGUCUGCAGACACCGCCAGGCUACCACGGGAGAAGAACCAACACCAAAUGCCUUGGAUCUCCCCAAAAAUCACGGCAGUGCUGAGAUUUAUUUCAAAGGAGAAGCGUACAAGGUGCUGUACUCUGCUUUGGAGGAGGUAAUGAACCUGUGCUCAUUUUCCUGAUUAAUUACUCCAGGAAAGACUAAGCGUACACGUGUGUGUGUGUAUAUACACAUAUAUGUGCACGUGUGAGUUCAUGGACAGUCCUGCUUUUGCUCCACGAAGCCUCCCCCCGUCCCGCACGGUUGAAAUAAGAUGCAGCUGACGCCAUUCUCUUUGCCUUUUUAUGAUAUGGGGAUGCGGUGGUAUCAAAGCAGGCAGGAUGAAAGCACGAAAGCUUCCUGUUUCCAGCUGUUUUCCUCGGCAAAGACUCUUUUUUCCAAAGAUGAUGCUUCCUUUUAAGGGGUUUUUAAUCUGCAAACUGUUUCCUCAGUUUAUUUCACUACAGUAAAAUGUGUUCCCUUUAGGUCAUAUCUGUCUCUUAAAAACCAACCUGCCCUUUUCAGUAGUUUUAUUUGCUACUCAAAAGAACAAACAUGACUUUAUAAAAAACCUUUAAUGAAGUACAAAGACCAAUAAACCUUUUGCCACUAGAGC